RNAcentral lists this ribosomal RNA (478 nucleotides) under uncultured bacterium. Its description in RNAcentral is "partial 16S ribosomal RNA". It matches the Rfam family "Bacterial small subunit ribosomal RNA", at positions 28 to 523 of the family's 1533-position model. The record is from RNAcentral.
GACGAACGCUGGCGGCGUGCUUAACACAUGCAAGUCGAACGGUAAGGCCCUUCGGGGUACACGAGUGGCGAACGGGUGAGUAACACGUGGGUGAUCUGCCCUGCACUUCGGGAUAAGCCUGGGAAACUGGGUCUAAUACCGGAUAGGACCACUGCCUGCAUGGGUGGUGGGGGAAAGCUUUUGCGGUGUGGGAUGGGCCCGCGGCCUAGCAGCUUGUUGGUGGGGUGAUGGCCUACCAAGGCGACGACGGGUAGCCGGCCUGUGAGGGUGACCGGCCACACUGGGACUGAGAUACGGCCCAGACUCCUACGGGAGGCAGCGGUGGGGAAUAUUGCACAAUGGGCGCAAGCCUGAUGCAGCGACGCCGCGUGAGGGAUGACGGCCUUCGGGUUGUAAACCUCUUUCAGCACCGACGAAGCGCAAGUGACGGUAGGUGCAGAAGAAGGACCGGCCAACUACGUGCCAGCAGCCGCAGUAA